This 460-nucleotide ribosomal RNA is filed under the name uncultured bacterium. RNAcentral's name for it is "partial 16S ribosomal RNA". It matches the Rfam family "Bacterial small subunit ribosomal RNA", at positions 338 to 795 of the family's 1533-position model. The record is from RNAcentral.
CCUACGGGAGGCAGCAGUGAGGAAUAUUGGUCAAUGGACGAGAGUCUGAACCAGCCAAGUAGCGUGAAGGAUGACUGCCCUAUGGGUUGUAAACUUCUUUUAUAUGGGAAUAAAAUGUUCCACGUGUGGGAUUUUGUAUGUACCAUAUGAAUAAGGAUCGGCUAACUCCGUGCCAGCAGCCGCGGUAAUACGGAGGAUCCGAGCGUUAUCCGGAUUUAUUGGGUUUAAAGGGAGCGUCGUUGGGUUGUUAAGUCAGUUGUGAAAGUUUGCGGCUCAACCGUAAAAUUGCAGUUGAAACUGGCAGUCUUGAGUACAGUAGAGGUGGGCGGAAUUCGUGGUGUAGCGGUGAAAUGCUUAGAUAUCACGAAGAACUCCGAUUGCGAAGGCAGUUCACUGGACUGCAACUGACACUGAGGCUCGAAAGUGUGGGUAUCAAACAGGAUUAGAUACCCGUGUAGUC